This 208-nucleotide long non-coding RNA is filed under the name Olea europaea (common olive). RNAcentral's name for it is "long non-coding RNA (OEUR_LNC007789)". The record is from RNAcentral. Lineage: Eukaryota; Viridiplantae; Streptophyta; Magnoliopsida; Lamiales; Oleaceae.
UUGGAAUUUAUGAUUUCGCUUAACCCUUUUCAAGCCAAUUAUGCGUAGAUGCAAAUUACCAAACUAUGUGGUUAGACCCGAUUUUCCAAAAUUAGUCAAUAACCUCUGUCGAGCGAUAUCAACCCUAAUUGCUUGGCAUUAACAUAUUUCUAUGUCGUUCUAAACCAAACAACUGCAUUCAAUUUUUGUGAAAAUAACUCAAUGGGUC